Molecule: non-coding RNA, 72 nt
Organism: Lactarius sanguifluus
Lineage: Eukaryota; Fungi; Basidiomycota; Agaricomycetes; Russulales; Russulaceae
Source: the annotation of a GenBank genome assembly
UGAGUUGUAGUUUUUUGGAAAAACAUCAUUUUUUGGUAAUGAAUAAUAUCAGUUCGAAUCUGGUCAACUCAG